This 497-nucleotide ribosomal RNA is filed under the name uncultured bacterium. RNAcentral describes it as "partial 16S ribosomal RNA". It matches the Rfam family "Bacterial small subunit ribosomal RNA", at positions 28 to 507 of the family's 1533-position model. The record is from RNAcentral.
GAUGAACGCUGGCGGCGUGCCUAAUACAUGCAAGUCGAGCGAACGGACGAGAAGCCUGCUUUUCUGAUGUUAGCGGCGGACGGGUGAGUAACACGUGGAUAACCUACCUAUAAGACUGGGAUAACUUCGGGAAACCGGAGCUAAUACCGGAUAAUAUUUUGAACCGCAUGGUUCAAAAGUGAAAGACGGUCUUGCUGUCACUUAUAGAUGGAUCCGCGCUGCAUUAGCUAGUUGGUAAGGUAACGGCUUACCAAGGCAACGAUGCAUAGCCGACCUGAGAGGGUGAUCGGCCACACUGGAACUGAGACACGGUCCAGACUCCUACGGGAGGCAGCAGUAGGGAAUCUUCCGCAAUGGGCGAAAGCCUGACGGAGCAACGCCGCGUGAGUGAUGAAGGUCUUCGGAUCGUAAAACUCUGUUAUUAGGGAAGAACAUAUGUGUAAGUAACUGCGCACAUCUUGACGGUACCUAAUCAGAAAGCCACGGCUAACUACGUG